Molecule: long non-coding RNA, 244 nt
Filed under: Lathyrus oleraceus (garden pea)
Lineage: Eukaryota; Viridiplantae; Streptophyta; Magnoliopsida; Fabales; Fabaceae
Description: Pisum sativum (pea) long non-coding RNA (PSAT_LNC026652)
Source: RNAcentral
CACGUUAAACUCGUAUCUUACCUUGGGGGACUUAGGGUGUCAAGUAAUGCCUAUUUUAUCAAACUUUCCCGAUGUCCUUAGACUUAGCCUCUCAUCACUCUAACUCUAUAUACUUUCAUGAUUUUCCCAUGAUCAAAGUUUUUUCAAGAUUUUUUUGAAUGGUCCUAAUUCAAGAAAAUAAAUUGAAACAAUGGUCUUUUUGAAAGUAAAAUCAACGGAAACAAAUAAAAGAAUAAAAAGCAAA